Molecule: ribosomal RNA, 61 nt
Filed under: Trichosporon asahii
Lineage: Eukaryota; Fungi; Basidiomycota; Tremellomycetes; Trichosporonales; Trichosporonaceae
Description: partial 28S ribosomal RNA
Source: RNAcentral
CUCUGGCCUGAAAUCAGGUAGGACUACCCGCUGAACUUAAGCAUAUCAUAGGCCGGAGGAA